UCCCUGGUGGCUAGACAGUAAAGCAUCUGCCUACAGUGCAGGAGACCUGGGUUCGAUCCCUAGGUUGGGAA
This 71-nucleotide transfer RNA is filed under the name Ovis aries (sheep). It matches the Rfam family "tRNA". From Rfam's summary of the family: Transfer RNA (tRNA) molecules are approximately 80 nucleotides in length. Their secondary structure includes four short double-helical elements and three loops (D, anti-codon, and T loops). The record is from Rfam by way of RNAcentral. Lineage: Eukaryota; Metazoa; Chordata; Mammalia; Artiodactyla; Bovidae.